CCGGUGCGAGAUGACAACUUAGAAAGAGCAAAUCGGAGGCNUGGGGCCGGCCGACGUGUGGGGGAGUACCAAGACACGCAACACGCCGCGGUCCCCCCCGACGCUGUACGCGGGACGGGAAAAACCGCGCGCGAGUCGGGCGUCCCCGGGUGCAGGUAGAUAGAGAUGAGGAGCGAGGCCCCCGGGGGGUGGUCGCUCGGGGGCAAAAAACGAGAGAAAUCGCGGGGGUUCCGCCGAAGGCGGGGGUUGCGUGGUGGAAUGGGGAGGAAGGGGGAGAGACCUUCCUUCCCUUAUCAUGCCCGGACCUUUGCAAAGAUAUGAGGUUCCCCGAAAGGGAUCCUGGCACACCGUGCGCCAAGGGGUUUGUUCAGAUGGGUUCGGGAGAGCUGCGUUAAGUCCGCCAAAGAGGGGCAACCUUUGCCAUUAGUGCCCACAUUCAGUGGGCACUCUAAUGGGACUGCCGGGGACAACCCGGAGGAAGGUGGGGAUGCCGUCAAGUCCUCAGGGCCCUUAUGGGUAGGGCUUCACACGUAAUACAAUGGCCGGUACAGAGGGCAGCCAACUCGCGAGAGGGAGCUAAUCCCAGAAAGCCGGUCGUAGUCCGGAUUGCAGUCUGCAACUCGACUGCAUGAAGCCGGAAUCGCUAGUAAUCGCGGAUCAGCAUGUCGCGGUGAAUACGUUCCCGGGUCUUGUACACACCGCCCGUCGCACCAUGGGAGUGGGUUCCACCAGAAGUAGUUAGCCUAACCGCAAGGAGGGCGACUACCACGGUGAGAUUCAUGACUGGGGUGAAGUCGUAACAAGGUAAAUGGAA
This 814-nucleotide ribosomal RNA is filed under the name uncultured delta proteobacterium. RNAcentral describes it as "bacterial SSU rRNA". The stretch from base 190 to 811 matches the Rfam family "Bacterial small subunit ribosomal RNA", at positions 874 to 1520 of the family's 1533-position model. The record is from RNAcentral. Lineage: Bacteria; Deltaproteobacteria.